GACGAACGCUGGCGGCGUGCUUAACACAUGCAAGUCGAACGGAAAGGCCCUGCUUUUGUGGGGUGCUCGAGUGGCGAACGGGUGAGUAACACGUGAGUAACCUGCCCUUGACUUUGGGAUAACUUCAGGAAACCGGGGCUAAUACCGGAUAGGAGCUCCUGCUGCAUGGUGGGGGUUGGAAAGUUUCGGCGGUUGGGGAUGGACUCGCGGCUUAUCAGCUUGUUGGUGGGGUAGUGGCUUACCAAGGCUUUGACGGGUAGCCGGCCUGAGAGGGUGACCGGCCACAUUGGGACUGAGAUACGGCCCAGACUCCUACGGGAGGCAGCAGUGGGGAAUAUUGCACAAUGGGCGGAAGCCUGAUGCAGCAACGCCGCGUGCGGGAUGACGGCCUUCGGGUGGUAAACCGCUUUCGCCUGUGACGAAGCGUGAGUGACGGUAAUGGGUAAAGAAGCACCGGCUAACUACGUG
RNAcentral lists this ribosomal RNA (468 nucleotides) under uncultured bacterium. Its description in RNAcentral is "partial 16S ribosomal RNA". It matches the Rfam family "Bacterial small subunit ribosomal RNA", at positions 28 to 507 of the family's 1533-position model. The record is from RNAcentral.